UACAGAGGUGCCAAGCGUUAGGCGGAAUCACUGGGCUUAAAGCGCGUGUAGGUGGGUCGUUAAGUGUCCGCGUGAAAUCCCACGGCUCAACCGUGGAACUGCCGGGCAUACUGGCGAUCUUGAGGCAUUCAGGGGCGAGCGGAACAAAUGGUGGAGCGGUGAAAUGCGCAGAUAUCAGGAGGAACACCGAUGGCGAAGGCAGGUCCCUGGGCAUUAACUGACGCUGAGGAGCGAAAGCAUGGGGAGCGAACAGG
RNAcentral lists this ribosomal RNA (254 nucleotides) under uncultured bacterium. Its description in RNAcentral is "partial 16S ribosomal RNA". It matches the Rfam family "Bacterial small subunit ribosomal RNA", at positions 524 to 776 of the family's 1533-position model. The record is from RNAcentral.